Molecule: ribosomal RNA, 1170 nt
Filed under: Escherichia coli
Lineage: Bacteria; Pseudomonadati; Pseudomonadota; Gammaproteobacteria; Enterobacterales; Enterobacteriaceae
Description: partial 23S ribosomal RNA
Rfam family: Bacterial large subunit ribosomal RNA
Source: RNAcentral
GGUUAAGCGACUAAGCGUACACGGUGGAUGCCCUGGCAGUCAGAGGCGAUGAAGGACGUGCUAAUCUGCGAUAAGCGUCGGUAAGGUGAUAUGAACCGUUAUAACCGGCGAUUUCCGAAUGGGGAAACCCAGUGUGUUUCGACACACUAUCAUUAACUGAAUCCAUAGGUUAAUGAGGCGAACCGGGGGAACUGAAACAUCUAAGUACCCCGAGGAAAAGAAAUCAACCGAGAUUCCCCCAGUAGCGGCGAGCGAACGGGGAGCAGCCCAGAGCCUGAAUCAGUGUGUGUGUUAGUGGAAGCGUCUGGAAAGGCGCGCGAUACAGGGUGACAGCCCCGUACACAAAAAUGCACAUGCUGUGAGCUCGAUGAGUAGGGCGGGACACGUGGUAUCCUGUCUGAAUAUGGGGGGACCAUCCUCCAAGGCUAAAUACUCCUGACUGACCGAUAGUGAACCAGUACCGUGAGGGAAAGGCGAAAAGAACCCCGGCGAGGGGAGUGAAAAAGAACCUGAAACCGUGUACGUACAAGCAGUGGGAGCCUCUUUUAUGGGGUGACUGCGUACCUUUUGUAUAAUGGGUCAGCGACUUAUAUUCUGUAGCAAGGUUAACCGAAUAGGGGAGCCGAAGGGAAACCGAGUCUUAACUGGGCGUUAAGUUGCAGGGUAUAGACCCGAAACCCGGUGAUCUAGCCAUGGGCAGGUUGAAGGUUGGGUAACACUAACUGGAGGACCGAACCGACUAAUGUUGAAAAAUUAGCGGAUGACUUGUGGCUGGGGGUGAAAGGCCAAUCAAACCGGGAGAUAGCUGGUUCUCCCCGAAAGCUAUUUAGGUAGCGCCUCGUGAACUCAUCUCCGGGGGUAGAGCACUGUUUCGGCAAGGGGGUCAUCCCGACUUACCAACCCGAUGCAAACUGCGAAUACCGGAGAAUGUUAUCACGGGAGACACACGGCGGGUGCUAACGUCCGUCGUGAAGAGGGAAACAACCCAGACCGCCAGCUAAGGUCCCAAAGUCAUGGUUAAGUGGGAAACGAUGUGGGAAGGCCCAGACAGCCAGGAUGUUGGCUUAGAAGCAGCCAUCAUUUAAAGAAAGCGUAAUAGCUCACUGGUCGAGUCGGCCUGCGCGGAAGAUGUAACGGGGCUAAACCAUGCACCGAAGCUGCGGCAGCGAC